RNAcentral lists this long non-coding RNA (17661 nucleotides) under Homo sapiens (human). RNAcentral's name for it is "non-protein coding lnc-TRIM26-2:40". The record is from RNAcentral. Lineage: Eukaryota; Metazoa; Chordata; Mammalia; Primates; Hominidae.
AGUGGAAGCUGGGGUGUCGGCGGGCGGCCGCGGCCGGGUCUAGCGGUGCCUGCGGAAGAAGGAGGAGGAGGGCUGGCGAUGAGAAGCAGCAGGGGGAAUCAAGGGCAAGAAGGGACCCAGAGGGGCAGGUGGCUGAGAUGCUGGCGUCCAGGUGACCCGAGGAAUCCUCUGGAGAUACAGGCGCCGCCGCCUCCCGGUGCAGCUGAAAGUCGACGAAGAGGGCGGGGCGGGGGCGGCUUGUGGACUUCCACACUUUUCCUCUCUUCGGGCCAGUCUGGGGAGAGGGUGGCUAGCUGUGGCGGCGGCCAAUUACGUGGCGGACCUGCGGGGCUAAGCUGGCACGUCACUUCCGACUAGUGGAGUUUUUAGCCUUUUAACAUUCAAGGAUUAGCUCCUUCGCAUGGGGUCCGACCGCAACACGUGCGCUGGAUAAACGCUUGUUAACUGGAGCUCCCUCUUUGCCCACUAGCAGGGCAUUAGCUGGUGCUGAAGACAGUGGCUGCUUGGCGAGCCUGGAUCUCCAAGUGACCCCCUCAGCAACUCCUGAUGAACAGGACUGAAGCCAAUAUUAAAGCAAGUCAACCAAAGGUUCUCUGGUGUAGACAAGACAGCAAAAGGACAGACUACCUUGUGGAACCUAGCAUUGUUCUCCUUCUGCAGCACUAAGUAACAUUUGUUCUCCGUUAAGAUCUUUGCAAACCACACACAAGAAUUGCUGGUCAUCCUGCCAAUAGAUGCUGCUCACAGAACCAAAUUUCCUGUGCUGAAUUGUCACUCAUGGGCUUGAGAGUAGGAGACUGGAGACCAAGGUGGCUAGAAUCCAGUUGGGCCUGAUGUCUCCCUGUUGAAAGGGCUCCUUGUGGAAUGAAUAGCACAUGGCUCCUGUGGUGGAUCUGAUAGUGGCAUAGCACCAAGUGAUGCAGGCCUGCCAGGGGCCACAGACACAGAAGAUGCUCCCGGGGUCCCCCAUGUACUCCAGACACACUGCAGGCCACCUCUCCCAGCAGGUUGCCAGUCAUGGGCCCCAUCAUCAUGACUUCUGUCCAAGGUGUGCUCGGAAAUCUCUUCCUUAACUGUGACUUUCUGACAGGUGGAGGAUGUGGUCAGGAGUGGGAAAAGGAUUCGAGACGGGAAGAGGGAGGGGUUCAGGAUGAAGAGAGAUAAUCUGUGCCACAGAUGCUGGCCCUGCAGUUAGCUCCCACCUAGUCCGUGCACACACAUUCUAAUCCCCUCCCAUUCCUUUACAUGCUGCGGCCAGAGAGGCCUUUCUCAAAGUGGAAGUCUCAUCCUCACUUCUCUGGUUACAGUGCUGGGCCAUGGUAACUUACAAGGCUUAGCAGGAACUGUCUGCGCACUCCCCCUUCCUGCCCACUACCUUGUUUCCCUCCAGUUGCGAGAGAAAACAUUGAUUGAGCAUUAACUAUGUGCCAGGCUUGUCCUAAGUCCUUUGCAUGUAUUCACUCAAACAAUCCUCACAACAUUCCUAUCACAUCUCCCAUUUCACAGUGAGGGUUCUAAAGCACGUAGUGGGUGAGGAACUUGUCCAGGGUCACACAACUAAGUGGGGGUGGAGAAACAUCAAAUCUAGGUGGUCCAGGUGGUGGCCAGAACCCAUCAGCACCUCACUACAGCUGCCUCCAGUUUCUCGCUCUAGGAAAUACUCUUCCCUGUCAACUCCUGUUGUCCUCUGGGCUCAGUUGACAUGUCAUCUCCUUGAGGAGGACAUCCUGAGAUGCUCCCCGACUAGGGUGGGCACCCACUUCCACACUCCAAAUGCCUAUUUGACCUGUGUAUCGCUGCAUCCCCACUGCCUGGCAGAUAGCAGGCCCCUAAUAAAUAUGAUUUGAGCAAAUAAAUAUAGUUCUUCAAAAAAUAGGGAGGACUUCUUGCUUCAGGUAAUGGUAGGCUAGGACAUUUGGACCAACCCUCCUGCAGAAAAUAGCCAUUUAUUUUGAUGCAAUAUAUCUGGCUAUGACUAGAGAUUUCAAAUAUUUGGAGGGCUAUUAUGUGAAGAACUAAACUUACUCUUUGUGACAUAGAGGUCAGAAAUUGGUCGUUUCCAUAGAGUAUGAGAGAGACAGAAUUGUGCUCAUCAUAAGUAUCUUUUUUAAAAGUUAGACUUAAUAAAAUGGGCUGCCUUGGUAGGUGGUGAGUUCUCUGUCACGAAAGAGAUUCAGCCACUUGCUCUGAGAAAGCAUGGAGAAUAUCAACAUUGUAAGGGUCGACCACCUCAUCUCUGAGGCCCCCUCCUCACUUAGGUUGCCAUUGCAGGUGGAACACUGGGCUGAGUGUCAAAGAACCUGGGUUCCACAAGCUGUGCGACCAUGGCUGGUUGUUUUGGAUCUCAUUCCUAAUAUCUGUUAGUUAAGCUGACCCGUCAAUACUGACCCACUUCACAGAGUUAUGAAGGGAUCUAAUACAAUAAUCAUACUUUUUUCCCUUUAUUCUCCUUUAUUGUGACCAAGGAUGACUUUGGGCAUUGCUGUGAGGAACUAUUUCGUUUAACACCCUACUACCUGAACAUGAUGCGUACUCAGCCUUUCACCACCCCCCAAGUAGCUACACAUGAUGUGAUAAUAGUAUUGGUGGUGGUUUUAGAGAGUUGGAGAGAAAACUGAAGUUGGAUUUGGGUAAAAGAAAAAAGAGUGGGAAUUAUUUUUUCUCCAUUCUAAAGCCCAUAAAGCAAUGUUAAUUGUUCCCACCCCUCUGCUAUUCUGUCUCCUCAGGUACUGUGUGCAGAAAUGUGAUUGAGAUUCAAGUCAGGGCCUCUCUGCCCUUUUCCCUCCAGAAACAAAACCAAGAUAAUUUAUCCUGAACACGGUGAAAAAAGGAAGGGAGGGAGGAGAAAAAGUCCGGGUCUCACCUGGGAUUCUCUGUCUCCUGCAACAUGAAGGAUUUAGCCUGGGAGGAGGUGGUGAGAACUCUGGGAGAGAAAAAAGAAGGAAAGAAUAGUUUUACCCAUGCUGAAGUUAAUUUAAACCUUCACCUAGAGAAGCAAAAAAAAAAAACCCACACUUUCCCAUUUUGUGCCUCCCUUCCUAGAGUUUUAGCCAAAGGUUUAGCUAAGUAAUUGGUUUUACCAGCGCACUCACUCCUCCUAUCCCAAGUCUGUUUGACUCCCUCCCCAUCAUCCUCCUCACCUCUUUUCAGGCAGGGUGGGGAUAGCAGCAGGAGGAGAUUUUGGGAGCCUGGCAACUCCUGCAAGGACCGCAGGACAGCCCCUCUGUGGGGAUGCGUGGUGCCCCAUCUGCCGCCCUUCUGAAGAAUGCACUGCCUUCACUUUUUACUGUGUUAGAGUCCAUCCAGACUGUUCUAUCCAAAAAAGUUUCUUUUUCCCCCACAGGCAAUCAGGAAAUGAUUCCUUUCCCGACUGCUUCUGUCUAGUGCCUGGGAAUCUUGAGUCAAUCCCUCAGUAAGUCAGUGACUAGGGAAAUCCCUCUCUGAGCCUCCCAGUUCAUGUUGCUUAGGGAACCUGAUAUUUUCGUGAAACCUGCCUACACAUGGGCAGCCCAACAGCAGAACAAAUGGUGGUGACCAAAGUGAACAAAGAAGUAUAGUUGUGCCAGCUUCGUAGUUGCCCAUGUGGACAAGUCAGCAGGAUCAGGACACGAGGAAGAGUAAAUGUGAGACAGUCAAUGUGACUUCUGCGAUAAACAGAUUUUUAAACCCCGAAAUUUUGCAAAAUUUUGGUGAAACCUGAACUUUCUUCGUUGCAUAUACUGGCACUAUCUGUACCAUCAUACAACUGUCUCACAUUAAAGCUAUUUUUCUUGGGCACUGAUGAGUAAGGGACUUGCACUUAGGAAUCUGUUACAGUGAGCACAGAAGCAGACCUGUGGGCUCAUAGUCUUCACCCCCCACCCAUAUAUACAAGAUGAACAGAGUGGAGGUUAAACAACUUGACUAAACAACACAGUUCAUGGUAAAGCCCAAGACUGUACCUGCCCAUCCACUGCCUUUUCCAUGUAUCCUGGAACUGAGCAUAGACCUCUUCCCAGGCAGAGCUGACAGCAAGUAAAGGAGAUCAUAAUCAGGGGACCAAACAACUUUGUCUAAAGUGUGAAUGUCACCUAAGGAGAAGCUGUGAGAUCAGAAGGGUGGGGCAGAGGAGCAGACACCAUGAGGGAGAGUCCUUGGGGGUACAUCUGCCAGACUGACACUGUCUGGCCUGGGCAGUGGAGGGGCUAGCAGGAACCACAGGUACUGGUGGUGUGGCUACUACCGUUACAACUGCCUGUGCUUGGACAUGGACCCUCUGCAAUAUGCGGCAGUUUCAUUCAUUGCCCCCUACAUUCUACACCAAGUAGAAAUGGAAGGCAAUUGGAUACUUCACAGACAAGAUCUAAGUGGAGAAGGAAUGCGUCCUGUGGCUGCAGAGAUCCUUGGAGCUUGGAGGGGAGAGCUUGAGCCCCACUGAUGAUGACCUCCCACAGCUCGCCAACUCAGCCCUCCCUAAGUCCCCAUCGGGGGCCAAUUCUCACUCUGGGGUUGGGGGGACUCCACCAUAGCUCAUCCAUCAUAGGGAUGUUGGUAUCUACUGUGGGUUGGGUAGGGCCGAUGUGCUGAGGAUGGCUCCCCCACAAGCAAGAGAUGUGGAUUUGGGGAGCUUCCCAUCUUGUGUUGAAGGAACAUAACUCAGAAUAAUAAGAGCCAACUAUAACAAACCCACAGCCAACAUCAUACUGAAUGGGCAAAAGCUGCAGGCAUUCCCCUUGAAAAGUGGCACAGGAUAAGGAAGCCCUUUCUCACCACUCCUAUUCAAUAUAGUGUUGAAAGUCCUGAUCACAGCAGUCAGGCAACAGAAAUAAUAAAGGGCAUCCAAAUAGGAAGAGAGGAAGUCAAACUAUCCUUGUUUGCAGACAGUAUGAUUCUAUAUCUAGAAAACCCCAUAGCCUCAGCCCAAAAGGUCCUUCAUCUGAUAAUUUCAGCAAAGUUUCAGGAGACAAAAUCAGUGUACAAAAAUCACUAACAUUCCUAUACACAGUCGCCAAGCCAAGAGCCAAAUCAGGAGCACAAUCCCAUUCAUAAUUGCCACAAAAAAGAAUAAAAUACCCAGGAAUGCAGCUAACCAAGGAAGUAAAGGAUCUCUACAAUGAGAAUCACAAACGCUGCUCAAAGAAAUCAGAGAUGACACAAACAAAUGGAAAAACUUUCCAUGCUCAUGGCUAGGAAGAAUCAAUAUCAUUAAAGUGGCCAUACUACCCAAAGCAAUUUAUAGAUUCAAUGCUAUUCCUAUCAAACUAUCAAUUACAUUUUUCACAGAACUAGAAAAAACUUAAAAUUCAUAUGGAACCAAAAAGCCUGAGUAGUCAAGGCAAUCCUAAACAAAAAGAACAAAGGUGGAGGCAUCACAUUACCUAACUUCAAACUACAGGGCUACCAUGACCAAAACAGCAUGGUACUGGUACAAAAGCAGACACACAGACCAGUGGGACAGAAUAGAGAGCCCAAAAAUAAGGCCACAAACCUACAGCCAUCUGAUCUUCAACAAAGUUGACAAAAACAAGCAAUGGGGAAAGGUCUCCCUAUUCAAUAAAUGGUGCUGGGAUAACUGGCUGGCCAUAUGCAGAAGAUCGUAACUGGACCCCUUUUACUAUGUACAAAAAUUAAGAUGGUUUAAAGAGUUAAAACCCAAAAUUAUAAAAAUCCUGAAGAUAACUUAGGCAAUACCAUUCUGGACAUAGGAACUGGCAAAUAUUUCAUGAUGAAGACACCAAAAGCAAUUGUAACAAAAGCAAAAAUGGACAAAUUGGAUUUAAGAGCUUUUUCAUAGCAAAAUAAACAACAGGGCAGACAAUCUACCAAAUGACAGAAAAUUUUUGCAAACUAUGCAUCUGACAAGGGGCUAAUAUCUAGCAUCUAUAAGGAAUUUAAACACAGUUACAGGAAAAAAAAAACCCACUCCAUUAAAAAAUGGGCAAAGGACAUGAACAGACACUUUUCAAAAAAGACAUACAUACAGCCAACUAGCGUGUUAAAGAAAACCUCAAUUAUCACUGAUCAUUAGAGAAAUGCAAAAUCAAAACCAUGAUGAGAUAUCAUCUGCCAGUCAGGAUGGCUACAAAAAAGUAAAAAAAUAAUAGAUGUUGGUGAGGUUAUGGAGAAAAGGAACUUAUACACUUGUUAGGAGUGUAAAUUAGUUCAAUCACUGUGGACAGCAGUGUGGUGAUUCCUCAGAGAGCUAAAAACAACUACCAUUUGACUCACCAAUCCCAUUACUGGAUAUUUACCUAAAGGAAUAUAAAUCAUUCCACCAUAAAGACACAUGCAAGUGUAUGUUCAUUGCAGCACUAUUAACAGUAACAAAGCUGGGCACAGUGGCUCACCUCACGACUGUAAUCCCAGCACUUUGGGAGGCUGAGGUAGGCGGAUCACCUGAGGUCGGCAGUUUGAGACCAGCCUGACCAACAUGGAGAGACCCCAUCUCUACUAAAAAUACAAAAUUAGCCAGGUGUGGUGGCUCAUGCCUGUAAUCCCAGCUACUUGGGAGGCCAAGGCAGGAGAAUUGCUUGAACCCAGGAGGCAGAGGUUGCAGUGAGCCGAGAUCACACCAUUGCACUCUAGCCUGGUGAAGGAGCAAGACUCCAUCUCAAAAAAAAAAAAAAAAAAGAAAGAAAGAAAAAUACACAUUCAGAGGAGACAAAAAAUAAAAAACAAUGAUGCAUGCCCACAGGAUCUAGAAAAUAACUUCUUAAGGGCAAAUCUAGGAGUUAUUGGCCUUAAAGAAGAGAUAGAGAAAGAGAUAGGAAUAGAAAGUUUGUUGAAAGGGAUAAUAACAUAGAACUUCCUAAACCUACAGAAAGAUAUUUAUAUCCAAGUACAAGAAGGUUAUAGAACACCAGGCCAAUUUAACCCAAAGAUUACCUCAAGGCAUUUAAUAAUCAAACUCCCACAGGACAAGGGUAAAGAAAGGAUCCUAAAAGCAGCAAGAGAAAAGAAACAGAUAACAUACAAUGGAGCUCCAAUACAUCUGGCAGUAUAUUUUUCAGUGGAAACCUUACAAGCCAGGAGAGAGUGACAUGACAUAUGUUAAAGUGCUGAAGGGAAAAAACCUUUUACCCUAGAAUAGUAUAUCCAGCAAAAAUAUCCUUCAAACAUGAAGAAUAAACAAAGACUUCCCCAGACAAACAAAAGCUGAGGGAUUUCAUCAACACUAGACUGGUCCCAUAAGAAACGCUUAAGGGAGUACUUUGGUCAGAAAGAAACAGACAUUAAUGAGCAACAAAGAAUCAUCUAAAGGUAAAAAACUCACUGUUAAGAGUAAGUACACAGAAAAACCCAAAGUGUGAUAACAUUGUAACUGUGGUGUGUAAGUAGAAAGAAUAAAUGAUAAACCAAUCAAAAAUAGUAACUACAACUUUUCAAGACCAGUCAGAAAAAUAAGAUAAAAUUAGAAACAACAAAAAGUUAAAAAGUGGGGGGAUGAAGUUAAGAUGUAGAGUUUUUAUUAGUUUUUUGUUUGUUAAUGCAAACAGUGUUACCAGGUUAAAAUAAUGGGUUACAAAAUAGUAUUUGUAAUCCUUAUGGUAACCUCAAACCUAAAAACAUACACUGGAUACAUAAAAAAUAAAAAGCAAAAACCUAAAUCAUAUCACCAGAGCAAACUACCUUCCCUAAAGGAAGACAGGAAGAAAAGAAAGAAGAAGACCACAAAACAACCAGAAAACAAAUAAAUAACAAGGCAGGAGUAAGUCUUUACUUAUCGAUAAUACAUUGAAUGGAAAUAUGGACUAAACUCUCCAAUCAAAAGACAUAGACUGGCUGAAUGAAUGGAGAAAACAAGACCCAUUGAUCUGUUGCCUACAAGAAACACACUUAAACUAUAAAGACACACAUAGGCUGAAAGUAAAGAGUUGGAAAGAGUUAUUCCAUGCCAAUGGAAACCAGGAAAAAGAGAAGGAGUAUUGAUUUUGAUACAAAAACUAUGAGACAAAUAAAGUCACUAUACAAUGAUAAAGGGGUUAAUAUGGUUUCCAUUUGUGCCCCACCCAAAUUUCGUGUUCUAUUGUAAUCCUCAAUGUUGGAGGUGGGGCCUGGUGGGACGUGAUUAGAUCAUGGGGGUGGAUCUUUCAUGACUAAUUCAGCACCAUCUUCUUAGUGCUGUUCUCAUGAUAGUGAGUUCUUCUGAAAUCUGGUUGCUUAAAAGUGUGUAGCACCUCUCCACACCACCCGCUUGCCUUGGUCUACUCCUGCUAUGUAGAUGCUUGCUCCCACUUUGCAUUAUUCCAUGAGUAAAAGCUCCCUCAGGCCUUCCCAGAAUCAGAUGCCGCUAUGCUUCCUGAACAGCCUGUGGAACUAUGAGCCAAUUCAACCUCUUUUCUUCAUAAAUUAACAAGUCUUGGGUAUUUCUUUAUAGCAGUGUGAGAACAGAAUAAUACAGAAAAUUGGUAAAGAGGAGUGAGGCAUUGCUAGAAAGAUACCUGAAAAUGUGGAAACAGCAGUGGAACUGGGAAAUAGACAGAGGUUGGAAGAGUGUGGAGGGCUCCGAAGAUAGGAAGAUGAGGGGAAGUUUGGAAUUUCUUAGAGAUUUGUUAAAUUGUUUUGACCAAAAUACUGAUGGUGAUAUGGACAAUGAAGUCCAGGCUGAGGAGGUCUCAGAUGGAGAUGAGGGACUUAUUGGGACCUGGAGUGAAGGUCACUUUUGUUAGGACAUUGUGGUUGGAGACAUUGUGCCCCUGCCCUAGGAAUCUGUGGAACUUUGAACUUGAGAGCGAAGAUUUAGGGUAUCUGGCAGAAGAAAUUUCUAAGCAGCAAAGCGUUCAAGACGUGGCCUGGCUGCUUCUGGUAGUCUGUGCUCAUAUUUGUGAGCAAAGACAUGACAAGAAACUGGAACUUAUAUUUAAAAAGGAAGCAGAGUGUAAAAGUUUGGAGAAUUUGCAGCCUGGCCAUGUUGUAGAAAAGAAAAAAACCAUUUUCUGGAGAGGAAUUCAAGCUAGCUGCAGAAAAUUGCAAGUAACAAGGAGCAAAAUGUUGAUAGCCAAGAUAGUGGGAAAAACACCUUGAAGGCAUUUCAGAUACCUUGGGGGCAGCCUCUCCCAUCACAGGCCCAAAGGCCUAGGAGGGAAGGAUGGUUUCCUGGGCCAGGCUCAGGGUCCUGCUGCCCUGCACAACCUCAGGAAACUGCUCUCCAAAUCCCAGCUGCUCCAGCUCCAGCUUCAGCUCAAAGGGCCCCAGGUAUAGCUCAGGCUGCUGCUCCAUAGGAUGCAAGUUAUAAGCCUUAGUGGCUCCCGUGUGGUGUUAAAUUAAGCCUGUAGGUGCACAGAGUGCAAGAAUUGAGGCUUGGGAGCCUCCAACUAGAUUUCAGAGUAUGUGUGGGAAAGCCUGGAUGUCCAGGCAGAAGCCAGCUGCAGGGACAGAGCCCUCAUGGAGAACCUCUACUAGGGUAGUGUGGAGGGGAAAUUUGGGGUUGGAGUUCCCACACAGCUUCCCCUCUGGUGUACUGCCUAGUGGAGCUGUGAGAAGACAGCCACUGUCCUCCAGAUUCCAGGAUGAUAGAUCUGCCAAUGACAGCUUGCACUGUACAACUGGAAAAGCCACAGGCAGUCAAUGCCAGCCCGUGAAAGCAGUGACAGUGGCUUACCCUGCAAAGUCCCAGGGGCUGAGCUGCCCAAGGCCUUGGGAGCCCACCCCUUGCACCAGUGUGCCCUGGAUGUGAGAUAUGGAGUCAAAGGAGAGUAUUUUGGAGCUUUAAGAUUUAAUGACUACCUGCUGGGUUUCAGACUUGCAUGGGUCCAGUAGCCCCUUUCUUUUGGCCAAUUUCUCACUUUUGGAAUGGGAGUGUUUACCCAAUUCCUGUACCCCCACUGUAUGUUGGAAGUAACUAACUGUUUUUUUAUUUUGUAAGCUCACAGGUGGGAGAGACUUGCCUUGUCUCAGGUUGAGACUCUGGACUUUGGACUUUUGAAUUAAUGCUGGAAUGAGUUAAGACUUUGAGGGACUGUUGGGAAGAUAUAACUGUAUUUUGCAGUAUGAGAAGGACAUGAGAUUUGGGAGACACCAGAGGUGGAAUAAUAUGAUUUGGAUCUGCAUCCCCACCAAAAUCUCAUGUUCAAUUGUAAUCCUAAAUUUUGGAGGUUGAGCCUGGUGGAAGAGGAUUGGAUAAUGGGGGUGGUUUCUCAUGGUUUAACACCAUCCCCCUGGGUGCUGUUCUCAUGACAGUGAGUGAGUUAUUGUGAGAUCUGAUUGUUUAAAAGUGUGUGCCACCUCCUCCCACUUUCCUCCUGCUCCAGCCAUGUAAGACAGGCUUGCCUCCCCUUCACCUUUUGUCAUGAUUGUAAGUGUUCUGAGGCCUCCCCAGCCAUGCUUCCUGUACAGCCUGCAGAACUGUGAGCCAAUUAAACCUCUUUUCUCUAUAUAUUACCCAGUCUCGGGUAUUUCUUUAUAGCAGUGCAAGAAUAGACUAAUACAGGGUUCAAUUCAGCAAGAGGAUAUAACAAAUAUAAAUAUAUAUGCACUCAACACUGCAGCACCCAGAUAUAUAAAGCAAAUACGAUUAGAGCUAAAGAGAGAGAGUGACCCCAAUACAAUAAUAGCUGGAGACUUCAACACCACAUUUUCAGCACUGGACAGAUCUUCCAGACAGAAAAUAAAAAAGAAACAUCAGACUUAAUCUGCACUGUAGAUCAAAUGGAUCUAAUACAUACUUGCAGAACAUUUUAUCCAAUGGCUGCAGAAUACACAUUCUUUUUUAGCACAUGUAUCAUUCUCAAGGAUAGACCAUAUGUUAGGUCACAAGUCUUAAAACAUUAAAAAAGUUGAAUACCAUCAAGCAUCUUCUCUGACCACAGUGGAAUACAACUAGAAACUAAUAACAAGAGGAAUUUUUGAAACUACAAAUACAUGAAAAUUAAACAAUAUGCUCCUGAAUGACCAUUGAGUCAAUGAAGAAAUUAAGAAGGAAAUUGAACAAUUUCUUGAAACAAAUGAUAAAGGAAACACAACAUACCAAAACCUAUGGGAUACGGCAAAAGCAGUACUAAGAGGCAAAUUGAUAGCUAUAAGUGCCUACAUGAAAAAAGAGGAAAAACUUCAAAUAAGCAAUUUAACAAUGAACCUUAACCAGAAAAGCAAGAGCAAAACAAACACAAAAUUAGAAGAAAACAAAUAAUAAAAAUUAGAGCAUAAAUAAAUAAAAUUGAAAUAAAAAUCAAUGCAAAAGAACAAUGAAACAAAAAGUUGCUUUUUUUCAAAAGUUAAACAAAACUGACAAGCCUUUAGCAAGACUGAGAAAAAAGAGACAAGAUACAAAUCAGAAAUGAAAAAGACAUUACAACUGACACUGCAGAAAUUCAAAGGAUCAUUAGGGGCUACUAUGAGCAACUCUAUGCCAAUAAAUUGGAAAAUCUAGAAGAAAUUGACAAUUCCUAGACACAUACAACCUACUGAGACUGGACCAGGAAGAAAUCCAAAACCUGAACAGACUAAUAACAAGUAACAAGGUUGAAGCCAUAAUAAAAAGUCUCCCACUAAAGAAAACCAAGGACCCGAUGGCUUCACUGUUGAAUUCUACCAAACAUUUAAAGAAGAACUAAUACCAAUCCCACUCAAGCUAUUGAAAAAUAGAGGAGGAGAGAAUAUUUCCAAAGUCAUUCUAGGAGACCAGUAUCACCCUGAUACCAAAACCAGACAAAGACACAUCAAAAAAAGAAAACUGCUGGCCAAUUUCUCUGAUGAAUAUUGAUGCCAGAAUCCUCAGCAAAAUAUUAGCAAACUAAAUUCAACAAUACAUUAAAAAGAUCAUUCAUCAGGGUCGGGUGCAGUGGCUUAAGCCUCUAAUCCCAGCACUUUGGGAGGCCGAGGUGGGCAGAUCACCUGAGGUCAGGAGUUCAAGACCAGCCUGACCAACAUGGUGAAACCUCGUCUCUACUGAAAAUACAAAAUUAGCCGAGUGUGGUGGUGCAUGCCUGUAAUCCCAGCUACUCAGGAGACUGAGGCAGGAGAAUCACUUGAACCCAGGAGGUGGAGGUUGCAGUGAGCUGAGAUUGUGGCACUGCACUCCAGCCUUGGUGACAGAGUGAGACUCCAUUAAAAAAAAAAUCAUUUAUCAUGACCAAGUGGGAUUUAUCCCUGGAAUGCAAGGAUGGUUCAACACAUGCAAAUCAAUCAAUGUAAUACAUCAUAUCAAAAAGAAUGAUUAAAACCAUAUGAUUAUUUCUAUUGAUGCUGAAAAAGUAGUUUAUAAAAUCCAACAUCCCUUCAUGAUAAAAACCCUCAAAAAACUGUAUAAAAGAAAUAUACCUCAACGUAAUAGCCAGAUAUGACAGACCCACAGCUAGUAUCAUACUGAAUGGGGAAAAAGUGAAAGACUUUCCUAUAAGAUCUGGAACACAACAGGGAUGUUCACUGUCACCACUGUUAUUCAACAAAGUACUGGAUGUUCUAGCUAGAGCGAUCAGACAAGAGAAGAUAUAAAGGCCAUCCAAACUGGAAAGGGAGAAGUUAAAUUACCCUAGUUUGCAGAUGAUAUGAACUUAUAUUUGGAAAAAACCUAAAGGCUCCACAGGAAAACUAUUAGAAUCAAUAAAUUCAGUAAAGUUGCAGGACACAAAAUCAACAUAUAAAAACCAGUAGCAUUUCUAUAUGUCAACAGUGAACAAUUUGAAAAAUUUUAAAUUUAAGAAGGUAAUUUCAUUUACAAUAGCCACACAUAAAAUUAAAUACCUAGGAAUUAACCAAAAAUGUGCAAGAUAUCUAUGAGGAGAAUUAUAAAACAUUGAUGAAAGAAAUUGAAGAGGACACAAAAAAAAUGGAAAAAAUUCCAUCUUUAUGGAUUGGAAGAAUCAAUAUUGUUAAAAUGUCCAUACUACCCAAAGCAAUCUACAGAUUUAAUGCAAUCCCUAUCAAAAUACCAAUAAUAGUCUUCAGAGAAAUAGAAAAAAAAAUCCCAAAAUUUAUAUGAAAACACAGAAUGCCCAGAAUAGCCAAAAUUAUAUUAAGCAAAAAGAUCAAAACUGGAGGAAUCACAUUACCUGACUUCAAAUUAUGCUACAGAGCUAUAAUCACCAAAACAGCAUGGUACUGACAUAAAAACAGACACAUAGUCCAACAGAACAGAAUAGAGAACCUAGAAACAAAUCCACACACUCACAGGGAACUCAUUUUUGACAGAGUUGCCAAGUACUUAUACUGGAGAAAAGAAAAGACAGUCUCUUCAAUGAAAUGGUGCUGGGAAAACUGGAUAUCCAUAUGCAGAAGAAUGAAACUAGACCCCUACCUCUCACUGUAGACAAAAGUCAAAUCAAGGCUAGGCAUGGUGGCUUACACCUGUAAUCUCAGCACUUUGGGAGGCUGAGGCAGGCGUAUCACGAGGUGAAGAGAUUGAGACCAUCCUGACCAACAUGGUGAAACUCACCCCCCCCCACCCACUAAAAAUACAAAAAUUAGCUGGGCGUGAUGGCAUGUGCCUGCAGUCCUAGCUACUCAGGAGGCUGGGGCAGGAGAAUCGCUUGAACCCAGGAGGUGGAGGUUGCAGUGAGCUGAGAUUGUGCCACUGCACUCCAGCCUGGCGACAGAGCAAGACUCCAUCUCAAAAAAUAAAAAAUAAAUUCAAAAUGUAAUAAAGACUUAAAUCUAAGACCUCAAACAUGAAACUACUAUAAGAAAACAUUGGGGAAAACCUCCAGGACAGUAGUCUGGCCAAAAAUUUCUUGAGCAAUACCCCACAAGCACAGGCAACCAAAAUAAAACUGGACAAAUAGUAUCACAUCAAGUUUAAAAGCUUCUACAAAGCAAAGGAUACAAUCAAUAAAGAGACAACCCACAGAAUGGGAGAAAAUAUUUGCAAACUACCCAUCUGACAAAGAAAUAAUAACCAGAGUAUAUAAGAAGCUCAAACAACUCUAUAGUAAAAAAAAAAAAAAAAAAAAUUCUAAAAGUCUAAGUAAAAAAAUGGGCAAAAGAUUUGAAUAGACAUUUCUCAAAAGAAGACAUACAGGCCAUGCGUGGUGGCUCAUGCCUGUAAUCCCAGCACUUUGGGAGGCCCAGGCGGGUGGAUCACUUGAGGUCAGGAGUUCGAGACCAGCCUGACCAACAUUGUGAAACUCCGUCUCUACUAAAAAUACAAAAAUAAGCCAGGCAUGGUGGCGCACACCUGUAAUCCCAGCUACUCAGGAGGCUGAGGCAGGAGAAUCGCUUAAACCUGGGAGACAGAGGUUGCAGUAAGCCGAGAUCACACCACUGCACUCCAGCCUGGGCAACAAAGUGAGACUCCGUCUCACAAAAAAAAAAAAAAAAAAAAAAAAAAAAGAAAAGAAAAAGGAAGAAGACAUACAAAGCCAGGUACAGUGGCUUAUGCCUCUAAUCCUAGCACUUUAGGAGGCCAAGGCAGAUGGAAUUGAGCCCAGAAGUUUGAGACCAGACUGAGCAAUAUGGUCAAACCCCAAUUCUGCAAAAUACAAAAAUAAAAAAUAGCUGGGAGUGGUGGUGCACACCUGUAGUCCCAGCUACUUAGGAAGCUGAGAUGGGAGGAUCACUUGAGCCUGCAGUGAAUCAUAAUUGCACCAAUGCACUCCAGCCUGGGCGACAGAGUGAGAGACAUUGUCUCAAAAAAAAGAAAAAGAAAAAAAAGAAAGGACAUAAAAAUGACAAACAGGCAUAUGAAAAGGUGCUGAUGAUUAUUGAUCCUCAGAGAAAUGCAAAUCAAAACUGCAAUGAGAUAUAAUCUCACCCCAGUUAAAAUGGCUUAUAUCCAAAAGACAGGCAAUAACAAAUGCUGGUGAGGAUGUGGAUAAAAGGGAACCCUCGUACACUGUUGAUGGGAAUGUAAAUUAGUACAACCACUAUGGAUAACAGUUUAGAGGUUCCUCAGAAAACUAAAAAUUGAGUUGCGAUAUGAUGCAACAAUCCUACUGCUGGGUAUAUACCCCACAAAAGACAAAACCAGCGUUUUGCAUGGUGGCUCACACCUGUAAUCCCAGCACUAUGGGAGGCCGAGGAGGGCAGAUCACUUGAGCCCAGAAGUUCAAGACCAGCCCGAGCAACAUGGCAAAACCUGAUUUCUACAAAAUACAAAAAAAAAAUUAGGCAGUUGUAGUGGUUCACACCUAUAGUCCUAGCUACUGUGGAGGCUGAGGUAGGAUCACUUGAACCUAGGAGGUGGAGGUUGCAGUGAGCCAAGAUCAUGCCACUGCACUCCAGCCUGGGUGACAAAGUGUGACCCUGUCUCAAAAAAGAAAAUCAGUAUAUGGAAGAGGUAUCUGCACUCCUAUGUUUUUUACAACACUGUUUACAAUAGCUAAGAUUUGGAAGCAACCUAAAUGUCUAACAGCAGAUGAAUGGAUAAGGAAAAUUUGGUAUGUAUACACAAUGAAGUACUAUUCAGCCAUAAAAAGGAAUGAGAUCCAGUCAUUUGCAACAGCAUGGAUGGAAGUGGAGAUCAUUAUGUUAAAUGAAAUAAGCCAGGCACAGAAAGGCAAACAUGGCAUGUUCUCACUUAUUUGUGGGACCUAAAUUCAAAACAAUUGAACUAAUGGACAUAAAGAGUAGAAGAAUGGUUACCAGAGGCUAGGAAUGGUAGUGGGGGGCUGAAGGGAAGGUGGGGAUGUUUAAUCGGUAAAAAAAAAUUUAGAAGAAUAAGACCUACUAUUUGAUAGCACAAUAGGGGGACUAUAGUCAAUAAUGCACAUUUAAAAAUAGUGUAAUUGAAUGGUUUGUAACUCAAAGGAUAAAUGCUUGAGGGAAUGGAUACCCCAUUCUCCAUGAUGUGCUUAUUUCACAUUGCAUACCUGUAUCAAAACAUCUCAUGUACCCCAUAAAUAUAUGCAGCUAUUAUGUACCCACAAAAAUUGAAAAUCAAAAAUAAAAUAUUUUUUAAAAUGUAUUAUUAUUUGUCCUCUGUGAAUAAAACUCGCUUCUGGCCCUCCUUUUUAUAGGUAUUUAAAAGAAUGCAUUUAGGCAGAUCAAUGGCAUUAUAUAAUAUACAAAAACAAUAAAUCUUUUUUUUUUAAACAUAUCACAUUCAGCACAGCUGCUGAAGUUGGGGCUAAUUAUAGGUUACAUUUUCAUUAAUCCACUGUCAUCUGUUAUCAUCCAUCCAAUUUUUGCUAGAACUGGAGUGGUAAAUUCAAUAGUUGAUGAUGAAACCACAACCCCUGCAUCUUUUAUGUCUUUGAGUGACAGUUUAUUUCAUUGCCCCUCAAAUACUACAUUGUUUUAAAAUUUCUAUCUUGGUCGAUAUUAGAAGCUCUCUUAGGGGCAUCCACUUGGCCUUUCUUACUACAAAUCCUUUAUUCCACAGGUGAAAUGACUAAAGUGUGAGUGAAAUAACUAAUGUACAAAAUAAAUCCAUCAAUUACAUAUUUGGAAACCAGAAAAAUAACCACCAAGCAGAUGUGUGGACACAGAGAAUCCACGGAGAUACGGGUGGACCUGAGACAGGAAAUUAUUUUCAGUUCCCUGUGUGGCUCUCCUCUAAUAGAAGUCCAUGAGGGUGCUUUGGUUCCCCAGGUAUCAGUGUGAAAUUGGACCCUGUAUCCAAUAGACCUGAAAAUAUCUGGACAUUCCCCUUUAUCAGUGUCUUGAUACCUGAGUAAAUGGCCAUUGAUCCCUUUAGGGAAGGGUGUAGAAAGUGUCUACUGUACACACUUAUGGUGUUGCAGAUACUUCAUCAGGGGACGUGACUCUCCUUCAAUGAAUGGAUUCUGGAUCUAAGCACUGGCUCAGGUCUGGAAACUGGGCAAGGGAUUUUAAACUUCUAUUGGAGAAAUUAAUCUCAGACUUCAGCUCAUCUAUUUUUCAUCUAUUGAUUCUAAUAUUAAACAACAGUCUUAUAGGCUGCCCAACUAGAAACACCAUAGUCUUAAUAAUUUCCCUAAAUCCCUUGCAGUCAGGAUUUCCUGGCUUCCAUUCUAACAUUACUCACUAUUUUGGGGAUUUUGUCCAUUUUGAUUCUGCCUUGCUGCCAGCUGGCCUCUAGCUUUCUGGAAUCCUACUGUCCUAUUGUUGCUAGGGCACCAAGUUCUCCAAUAUCAUCUCAUAGAGUCAGCUCCAGCCCACAAAGGACAAAAUUAGGUUAAUACCCCGUUCACCUGCCCAUGACUUGCUGCCUGAUAAACAGAGUUUCCUUUGGGCCCUUCCAAAUAAACAGUCACCCAGUGCAUGAUCCAGUUUUAUAGAGUGUAUCUAUCUAUGCCAGCAUGCUCACUGCUCUGAGCCUUUUGGUCUCUUUCUCCACAAUCUGCCAUGGCAGCUCUGGCACAUCGAUUUUAUUUCAUGUGAGCCAUCAUUUUUCAUUAGAACAGUUUCAUUAAGAUAAAAUUCAUAUAUUAUUCAACCAUUUAAACUCAAUGGUUUUUAGCAUAUUUAUAGUGCAACCAUCACCACAAUCAAUUGUAGAACAUGUUCAUCACUCCAAAACUAUUUUUAGAACAUUUUCAUCACCCAUGUAUAUUUAUUCUCAGGCAGUCAUCCCCAUUUUUCCCUCCAACAUUUCCUCAGUCCUAGGCAACCACUAAUCUACUUUCUCUCUACAAAUUUAUUUCUUAUAGACAUUUCAUAUAAAUGAAAUAAUAUAAUGGAUGGUCUUUUGUGACUGGCGUCUUUCACAUAGCAUAAUGUUUUCAAGGUUCAUCCACAUUGCAGCAUUUAUUAGUACUGCAUUUCUUUUUAUGGCCAAAUAUUCCGUUCCAUAGAUUGACCAUAUCUUAUUCAUUCAUUUGUUCCUGG